GAUGAACGCUAGCGGCGGGCUUAAUACAUGCAAGUCGAGGGGGCAGCACGAUGUAGCAAUACAUUGGUGGCGACCGGCGGACGGGUGCGUAACACGUAUGCAACUUGCCCUAUACUGGGAGAUAGCCCGAAGAAAUUCGGAUUAAUAUCCCAUAACAUCAGGAUAAGCAUUUGUUCUGGUUGAAAGUUCCGACGGUAUAGGAUGGGCAUGCGGUCGAUUAGCUUGUUGGUGAGGUAACGGCUCACCAAGGCGACGAUCGAUAGGGGGGCCUGAGAGGGUGAUCCCCCACACUGGUACUGAGACACGGACCAGACUCCUACGGGAGGCAGCAGUAAGGAAUAUUGGUCAAUGGGCGCAAGCCUGAACCAGCCACGCCGCGUGAAGGAAGACGGCCCCUAUGGGUUGUAAAACUCCUUUUUCUACGGGAAUAAACCUCAGGACGUGUCCUGAGCUGAAGGUACCGUAGGAAUAAGCAUCGGCUAACUCCGUGCCAGCAGCCGCGGUAAUACGGAGGAUGCAAGCGUUAUCCGGAUUUAUUGGGUUUAAAGGGUGCGUAGGUGGGAUAGUAAGUCAGAGGUGAAAGCUAGCAGCUUAACUGUUAAAUUGCCUUUGAUACUGCUGUUCUUGAGUGUAGUUGGAGUUGGCGGAAUGUGACAUGUAGCGGUGAAAUGCGUAGAUAUGUCACAGAACACCGAUCGCGAAGGCAGCUAACUAAGCUAUCACUGACACUGAUGCACGAAAAGCGUGGGGGAGCAAACAGGAUUAGAUACCCUGGUAG
This 778-nucleotide ribosomal RNA is filed under the name uncultured bacterium. RNAcentral describes it as "bacterial SSU rRNA". It matches the Rfam family "Bacterial small subunit ribosomal RNA", at positions 28 to 793 of the family's 1533-position model. The record is from RNAcentral.